UACGGAGGGUGCAAGCGUUGCUCGGAAUCACUGGGCGUAAAGGGUGCGUAGGCGGCUUGGUAAGUUGGGUGUGAAAGCCCCGGGCUCAGCCCGGGAAGGGCACUCGAAACUGCCGAGCUGGAGUGCCGGAGGGGAGAGUGGAAUUCCUGGUGUAGCGGUGAAAUGCGUAGAUAUCAAGAGGAACACCGGUGGCGAAGGCGGUUCUCUGGGCAUGUCCUGACGCUGAGGAGCGAAAGUGUGGGGAGCGAACAGG
RNAcentral lists this ribosomal RNA (253 nucleotides) under uncultured bacterium. RNAcentral describes it as "partial 16S ribosomal RNA". It matches the Rfam family "Bacterial small subunit ribosomal RNA", at positions 524 to 776 of the family's 1533-position model. The record is from RNAcentral.